Molecule: ribosomal RNA, 641 nt
Filed under: uncultured bacterium
Lineage: Bacteria
Description: bacterial SSU rRNA
Rfam family: Bacterial small subunit ribosomal RNA
Source: RNAcentral
GGAUUUCUUCGGAAGAAGUGACUGAGCGGCGGACGGGUGAGUAACGCGUGGGUACCUGCCUCAUACAGGGGGAUAACAGUUGGAAACGGCUGCUAAUACCGCAUAAGACCGCAUGGUAAAAACUCCGGUGGUAUGAGAUGGACCCGCGUCUGAUUAGCUAGUUGGUGGGGUAACGGCCUACCAAGGCGACGAUCAGUAGCCGACCUGAGAGGGUGACCAGCCACAUUGGGACUGAGACACGGCCCAAACUCCUACGGGAGGCAGCAGUGGGGAAUAUUGCACAAUGGGGGAAACCCUGAUGCAGCGACGCCGCGUGAGCGAUGAAGUAUUUCGGUAUGUAAAGCUCUAUCAGCAGGGAAGAAAAUGACGGUACCUGACUAAGAAGCCCCGGCUAACUACGUGCCAGCAGCCGCGGUAAUACGUAGGGGGCAAGCGUUAUCCGGAUUUACUGGGUGUAAAGGGAGCGUAGACGGCAUGGCAAGCCAGAUGUGAAAGCCCGGGGCUCAACCCCGGGACUGCAUUUGGAACUGUCAGGCUAGAGUGUCGGAGAGGAAAGCGGGAUUCCUAGUGUAGCGGUGAAAUGCGUAGAUAUUAGGAGGAACACCAGUGGCGAAGGCGGCUUUCUGGACGAUGACUGACGU